UUCUUCUUCUUCUUCCUCUGCACUUGGUUUUUCCAUCUGUUCCGACCUCCUUCAGGAAUUCUAUAUGAAUACUCCGCCCUCAACAGCACAGUGACCUUCAUUCCGUGCGUCAACCAAACUACUAUAUACUUCAUGCAAUGACCACAUCACUUUCUACUUCUCCGUUCAGACUCAACCAUCAAUCUGAGCUCGGGCGCGUUUGUUGGAGGCUCUUCUCGUCGGCGCCGCCAAUUGCUCCUCAAAACGACAUAGAACCUCAAUUGAGAUCACUCUGCGAGAGUCCCAAUGCCCGAUUUGCGGAGGCCGCCUCGCUCCUCCACCACGCAAUCGAUUCAGGUUCGCCUCCUUCCAGCUCGACCUGCAGCUACCUCGUCGAUGCCCUGGUAAAGUCCAAGAACUACGAUUUAGUGUUGGCGGUGUACGCGAAGAUGGCGAAUUUUAAUAUUUCUCCAUAUUUUAAGACGCUGAGAGGUGUGGUAGAGUCUUUUGUAGAUGCAGGUAGGUUGGGGCUUGCGUGCGGGGUGGUGGGGUUGGUUCUGAAGCGUGGGUAUAACAUGAAUGUGUUUGUUAUGAAUGUUAUAUUGAAUGGACUGUGUAAAAAAGGCGAGGUCCAGGACGCAGUGGAGUUGUUUCGCAGAAUGGAAAGGAAUGGUGUGAAGCUGGAUGCUUACAGUUAUAAUACACUUGUGAAUGGACUGUGCAAGGCCAAGAAAGUUGAAGAAGCUCGGUUUUUGUUGGUUGAGAUGAAGAGGUUGAACUGUUGCCCGAAUGCGGUGACGUACGCCACUCUGAUGGAUGGUCUUUGCAAGGAAGGUAGACCGGAAGAGGCAUUGAAGAUAAUGGUGGAUAUGAGGGAGAAUGGCCUGGAUGCAGAUGUUUUUGUAUAUGGAGCUCUUAUGAAUGGAUUCAUUCAAGUGGGGAAGUUUGAUCGAGGAAGUGAACUUUUCUACGAGAUGUUGGAAAAAGGGAUUUCUCCAAAUGUCGUCACUUUCGGUUGUUUAGUGCACGGUCUUUCUAAGAUGGGUAAGUGGGAAGAAGCCAUAAAUGUAUUAGAUGCUAUGGCAGAACGUGGGAAUUUUCCUGAUGUUUUUGUUUAUACCAGUUUGAUUGAUGGCCUUUUCAAAGAAGGGAAAGUGAAAAAGGCUUUGGAGAUGUUUGAUUUAAUGGUGAAAAAAGGUCAACAACCUAGUUCCGUUACAUAUAAUGUCGUAAUUUAUGGAAUGUGCAAGGAAGGUCUGAUUAGAGAGGCUUUUGAAGUUUUUGAAACUAUGAGAAUGAAAGGUGAAAAGCCCGAUGUGCAUACCUAUAAUUCGCUGCUGAUGGGACUUUGCAAUAAGGGCAGGGUUGAUGAGGCAUUGCAUCUUUUCAAUCUUAUGGUGAAAGACAAGGACUAUGCCAAGCCGGAUAUCAUGACAUUCAACAUGUUAAUGCACGGACUUUGCAAAGAAAGACGUGUAGCUGAGGCCGAGAACAUUUAUAAGAAGAUGGUUGCAAGGGGGGGUUUUGGUAAUAUAAUUACUCUUAACACUUUGCUCGGUGGGUAUCUAAGUAAAGGAAAUAUAAAGCAGGCUAUGGAAGUCUGGAAAAGAAUCAUUGAGUUGGGACUUGUGCCAAAUCCAAGCACUUAUAGCAUCAUGAUAAAUGCAUUUUGCAAAGGAGGCAUGGUGAGCAUGGCAAAGGGGCUAUUCAACAAAAUGAGAGCUGGCAAGCCUGGUCCUACCUUGUCUGACUGUAAUACCUUGCUGGGUCUUCUGUGCAAAGAGGAUCAGUUGGAGCAAGCGAGGGCUUUAUUUAAAGAAAUAAUAGAAAAUGGUGAACCAGAUCUGGUCACAUUCAAUACUAUGAUCAAUGGAACCUUCAAAGCAAGAGACUUUCAAGCUGCCAAAGAUUUACUCAAAGAAAUGCUUAACCUGGGCUUGGCUCCUGAUAUCUUCACCUUUUCUACGCUGAUAAACAGGUUGUCAAAAGCUGGACUGUUGGAUGAAGCGAAAGAUAUCUAUGAUAGGAUGAUCUCUGUAGGCUAUGCACCUGAUUGUGUUGUGUAUGAUUCCUUGUUGAAAGGCUUUAGUUCAAAUGGUGACGCCAAAGGAGUCAUAAGUUUGCUGCAUCAGAUGUCUGAUCGGGAUGUUGUUCUUGACAAAAAAAUUAUAGCUACCAUUGUUUCUUGCCUAUGUCAGAAUUCCGGUGAUCUUGACAUCCUUGAUCUACCAGAUUUUUCCGAAUCAAAAUCAAGUGCGGGCAUGACAUGCACAGAACUUUUGUCCAAAUUUGGCAAGUCUCACCCUGAUCUUCAAAUAAGCAUUGUAUAACUCUUUGGCUCACUCAUUCUGUAAGUCGCUCCCAUAUUCUCUCCUACGAGAAUCUUUGUUGUUCAUGAAGAGGAAGCCUAAAGCACAUAUGGGUUGAUCAAUAUUGAUAUGAUGGAGCAGGUUUGAAAAAGGUUCUCAGAACUGUUUUGAGAAUAGCUUUCAUCUUGCUGCAUCCGCUGCUAAAUUCUUCUGGAAAGGGAUUCUAAUUGGCCAUAGUAUCCCUGCAUAUUGAAGAGGUCCCAGUCUUUGGUCGUAUUCUCAGUGGGGGCUGUACGGGACAGUUGAAACGCUUGUCCGGAUUUCUUGGAUAAGUGUCAGAUUGUAUAGUCAUGAAUCCCAUACACACUUCAAGAUUGGUCCUUUAGAUUGUUCUUGAUAAAUGUCUUAAUGUUAGUACACCCUCCAGAAAGUCCCAACUGGGAUGGACUUCAUCCUCAUUUAUGUACAUGCCUAUGUGCCAACGCACUAAUUCAUCGACUUAAGCUGGACGGGGCAGCAUGCUAGCUUUAGGGUUCUGGAAAUCUGCGCCUUUCAGUUCUUUUAGCAGAACUUGAACAAGAGCAUUGUGACAGGUAUGUUGUGAUUUUAGAAUGUUGAUAAUAGGAAGUUGUGCUUUGUUAUGUGUUUUUAUGGGAUGUUACCUGUUGGAUGUUUGGAUAGUCCUAUAUCCCAUAGAUGUGCGGCAACAACAAACGUCCAAGUGUAGGUGCUGUGCUUUGAUAUCUUCUGUAUACUCUCAAAUUGACCUUGUUGAGAUGGUUGGAGACUUAAUUGAUGCAGCUGGUAAAGCUGAAAUCAUUUGGACAUUGAUUGGUGCACAAGCAGGUCCCAGAAUGAAAAGAUUUAGGAGGAUCCGGCUGCGCUUCUGCUUCAUCUUCCGUGUUUCAUGGAUAGAGUCACAGGCUUAUUGUAUAGAACGAAACUCCCGGAUAUCUUUGCGCUUCUCGUCGAGAAUGUUGGGCCCACCAGAGAGUAGAGCUAGGCUGACACACCUCCUCAUGUAUGAAUUUGUCUCUCUUGAACGGUCAUCACUCAUAAUUGCUUUAUGCUUCUUUCUUUGAUGUAAUAUACCCAGAAGUACUCUUUUAAGAUUCAUUGCACUGGAUGUUCACCUACCUA
Molecule: RNA transcript, 3428 nt
Organism: Rhodamnia argentea
Lineage: Eukaryota; Viridiplantae; Streptophyta; Magnoliopsida; Myrtales; Myrtaceae
Gene name: pentatricopeptide repeat-containing protein At4g28010-like
Exons: 4
Source: RefSeq, a predicted model, not a curated record